This 379-nucleotide ribosomal RNA is filed under the name uncultured eukaryote. RNAcentral describes it as "partial 18S ribosomal RNA". It matches the Rfam family "Eukaryotic small subunit ribosomal RNA", at positions 592 to 976 of the family's 1831-position model. The record is from RNAcentral.
CAAUAGCGUAUAUUUAAGUUGUUGCAGUUAAAAAGCUCGUAGUUGGAUUUCGGAUGGGAUUUGCCGGUCCGUCGUUACGAUGUGCACUGGCCAGUCCUAUCUUGUUGUCGGGGACUAGCUCCUGGGCUUCACUGUCCGGGACUAGGAGCUGACGAGGUUACUUUGAGUAAAUUAGAGUGUUCAAAGCAAGCCUACGCUCUGAAUACAUUAGCAUGGAAUAACACGAUAGGACUCUGGCUUAUCUUGUUGGUCUGUGAGACCAGAGUAAUGAUUAAGAGGGACAGUCGGGGGCAUUCGUAUUUCAUUGUCAGAGGUGAAAUUCUUGGAUUUAUGAAAGACGAACUUCUGCGAAAGCAUUUGUCAAGGAUGUUUUCAUUAA